CAUGGUGGUCAUCAUGUGUUAUAUUUGCUUAGACAGUGCUCAGUCCUCCGUACCCAUGGUGCUGGUCACCAACUGCGUGGUGCACGUCGUAAUGUACACCUAUUACCUGUUGUGCACCCUGGGGAUGCACCCCAAGUGGAAGAAAAUGGUGACGGAUUUUCAACUAGUGCAGUUCUGGUUAAGCUUUUUGAUCAUGGCCAUGCUUGUGUUCUACCACUUCACUGCUUCUGGCUGCUCUGGGAUUCUGAGUUGGUGUUUCAAUGCAGCCUUCAUCGUCUCUCUUCUCUACUUGUUCUCAGACUUUCAUGCCAAGAGUUACUCCACCAAUGCCAAGGUCUUCAAGGGUAACUAAUAAUUAAUUAAACUACCUUUUCUUUUCUUUUCUUUUCGUUUUCAUUUUUAUAUGUAGUUAUUGUUUCAGAGUGAUUCAUCAGUUGAAGAAAAAAAUGAACAUAAUUGUCAUAAAUUCCUUUUACGAUUUCAAUUCUUCGGUGUGCAUAUGUAUCUUAAUAUCAAUUAAUUGAAGAGAUUCAUUGUUAAUUUAUAUUUUAUGUUUUUACUGUAAAUGCAUGAUUAAACAGUUCCUGCUGCAUGCAAUUGUAUUAUAUUAUCGUUUCUAAUGACGAAGAAAAUGGAACAACCGUGAAGUGAAAAAAAAAAAAAGGUUGAUGAGAAAAAUAAAUCAAGGCGGACAUAGAACUUGUUGUCGCAGUCAACAUUAAAUAUGGUAAGCAGGUGAGUUAAUAAGUUUGACAGGUACUCACCAAAAAUUAACUUGUACCUUUUAUCGUCAUAUAUAUUAUUUAAGAUAUUGCAUGCUUUUGUCGUUUUCAUUACACCAAUAUUUUAUGUCUAGUAAGAUUUGGAACAACACCUCAUGAUUCAUCCAUUAAAUUCCAAUUUAGCGUUAUAUAAGUUUUUUUUUUCUUAGAGAAUAUUAAGAAAAUCCAGUGUCAUAUAUACACAACAUGAAAUAAAUUUUGGUAAUAAAAAAAAUUUGAGAGUAGGGCACCAAAUUAUAGUCCAGUAUUUCAAAUUAAUUUGGUUAUAAGGUCAACAAUCAAUUAUGCAAAUGAUGUAAACCUAAGACACUACUUUAUCACAUGUAUUGUUUCUACUGAUUAGUUUUAAUCAAUUGAAGUUAAUUGGAAAUAAAAUAAAGUAAUUGAUUAUGAAAUUGAUAGAGACAACAGGUCAACCAAAUGAAUUAUUUUUCCUAUAUUAAAUUAUAAAACAUUCAAAAUGUAGUUAUGACACACGAAUAAGAUUUAUAUAAAAAUAUAUAUAUUUAUUAAAAUUUUAUAUGAAAAUCAAAUCAAAUGAAAUUGAAGUUUUUAAAAUUAUAAUGUUUAUGGUGAAAUCAAGUAACAUCUAAAACAAUCAUUAAAAAAAUUGGAGAUUAAUAAGUUAGAAUUGUUUGGAGAGAUGUUACUGAAAAUGAAAAUUACUUUGACGAAAAUCAUAUUAUUAUAUUUUUUAAUAUGAGAGCUUCAAUCUUAUUAGAUUUAUAAUUUUACUUUAUAUUAUCUUUAAUUAAUAUUAUAAUUAUAAUUUAUAAUGAUAAUUAUUUAUUAUUUAUUAUUUAUUAUUAUUAUUUUAAAAUUUCAUAACCUUCGUUACUUACGGUUUGUUUAAGGUUACACACAAAAUUAAUGAAAAAUUAUAACCUCUGUUGCUUGAGGUUUGCUUAAGGUUGUACACAAAAUUAAUGAAAAAAUUAUAACCUUCAUCACUUAUGACUUGUAUUAUAAAAGGUAAAAAAUCAAGACAAAUUAAUUCAUCGUGUUUUUCUUCAUCAAAUCUGAUAGACGACUUCAAUUAAACAUUAGAUAAAUCUCUAUUGAUUUUAGUUUGCAUAAUACGAAAAACUUCAAUUUUUAAAUUUGAUCCAAUUUGAAUUUAAAUUUUAUUUAAUAAAAUAUUUAUAUUAUUUUAAAUUAGAAAAUAUAUUUAAAAAGUAAAAAAAGACAGAUUUAAUAUUAAAAUUAAAAAUUAAUGUUUUAACUUAAUUAAAUUUAAAUAUUAAUAUUUAAUUUGGUAAUUUUAAUAUAUUAAAAUCCCAAAUAAUUUUAUCUAUUAAUGUACAAUUACAAAUUAAAUCAACUUUAUGCUCAAAAUAAUUUUUUUAAUAUAUAUAUAUGAAUUAUAAAAAUAGAAUUGUUCUAAGUUUUAUUCCAAAAUCAAAGUGUUAAAAUAGGAUGCAUUUCUUAUAUUAAUAUUUUAUUUUCAUAUUAAAAUAAUAAAAUGUAAAUUAAAAUGAGUUGAAAUUUAAUAAAUAUUAAAUUACACUUUCUAAUUAACUCCAAUUGCAUAUUGAUUGUCAUUAGGAUUAUCUAAUCACAUAUUAUUUUUUAUAAUACAAAUAUGAGAAAAUAUUUAGUACAUCAGUGAAAUUUUUAACUUUCACAAGUAAAGUUAGAGAGUUUAACAAGUUAUAGGGAUAGAGUAAAAUAUUUAAAAAAAAGAAUCAUAUAACAAAAUUUUAAGGUUGUUUGUGAAAUAAAUAAAAAAAUACACUACCACUAUAACAAAUACUAACCUUGCAAAUAUAUUUACAAUAUAAAAUGUUUUAAAACAUUAAGAGUAAAUUAAAAAUAAUAAUAAUAAUAAUAAUAAUGUGCAACGUGUGUGAGGCUAAAAACUAAUAUAUAUAUAAAAUACAAAGUAAAAAAAAAGGACUAAACUAGGUUUAAGUUUUGAGUAUUAGAGUUCAAGCUUGAUUCAUAUUUUAAAUGAGUCUAAUAUUUUUAUUUAAAACUAUUUUUAAACUUCAUAAUUUUAUUCAAAUGUAUUUAUUAUAUAAAAUCAAAUUCUUUUGGGAGUCAUUAGGAAUUAAUAAGGAUAAUUUAGGUAGUAAAAGUUAAAGACAAUUAUAUAUUUUGGAAAAAAUAAUUAUUUUAAAAUUUAAUAAAACUAACUCCCUUUUAGUAAUUAGGAAUUAAUAAGCACAAUUUAGACAUUAAAAUUUUAGAUAAUUGAAAUUUUUUAAUUACUUAUUUUAAAAUUUUUUAUUCCAUUUUAAUUAUUUGUAUUUAAAAUUUUUUUAAGUCCAAAUGAAAUUAUUUAUGCUUAAUUAAUUAAUCUUUUACCAAAAAAUAUUUUUUAAAAUUUUUAAUAAUUUAAUAAUUUUAUUUUAAUAUAAAAAAAUCUAUAUUCCAAGAAUUUACAUACCAAAAUGUAUAUAAAAAAAUUAAAUAGUAAGUUGAUGUUUUUAAAGGAAAAGGUGAGUAAAAAAUAAAAUAUUUUUAAGAUUAUUAAAAGAGAUAAUAUCUAUAUGUAAUAGUAUCAGUAUCAGUAUCAGUAUCAGUAUCUAUAUGUAUUAAUAUGAUAUUUACUUUUGUUUUCUUCUAAAUUUAAAUUGGUUAGUUUCUUUACUUUUACUAAAUAUAUUAUUAUAAAAAAAUUUAAUAAAUUUUCAAUUCAACUUUAAUUUCAGCUACACAUUUUGUAUAUGGUAAUAUUUGUUAUUAAGAAUAUUUGAUAUAUUAAUUAGCUUUUCAGUUACAAGUUUUUUUUUUAUAAAUAGUUUGUUUUGUUCCAUCAUAUUAUUUUAUCCUAAUUUUCGUUUGAUCGUAAUUUUAUCUUUAUUUUUAAUUUUUUUCUCUAUUAAGAGGUUAGUUUUUUAAAUGGAUACACGUGUUUACAUGCUAUUUUUAAAUAAAUUAUUAGUUUUUUUUUUAAUCUAUUUCUUUGUUUUUCAAUGUCAAGCUCGAGUCUAAAACUUUUUUAUUUUUGAAUUGAGAGUAUAGUUUUUCUUUCUAGUCCUCAUCGUAUUCUAACAUAAAAAAUUAAAAAUCCAUUAAUAACACUAUUUACUAAUAUUAUACAAAUAUAUAUCCAAAAUAGAUUACAAGAUUUCCUUUUAUGUCCAUUUUUAAUAUUUUUUUAUAAUAAUUCCAUGUAGGGGAAAAAUCAGGAUUUUAUUGUUUGAAGUUUAGAUGAAGCAUUUCUCUUUUCCAUUUUCUUACUCUUUUGUUAUUCUCAAUAUUUAUUGUUGCACGUGAAAAAGUUAUUGGUGCUACUGCCCAGCUUUGGAUAUCAUUCUAUAUUUAAAUUGGGUAUGAAUUAUUAUAGGUAUAUUUCAUUUAUAUGAUUUGACAUGUUGAUGGCAUAUUUUAUAAAAUCAUAUCAAUUUUCUAUAUAAGGUAAAAUUGUAUUUUAUUUUCUUUUUUUUAUUACAUAUCCAUUAUUGAUAGUAGUGACUAUUUUUUUUUGUUGGUGUUUUUCAAAGAGAUAAACGAUUAGUUAUGAAAUAUGCUCUAUUGUUAAUAAAGGGGCAAUGGAAGAAGAUUGGAUUUGAGUUGUUGGACUAAAAAAUUUCAAAAUUGACUUAAAAAGAAGAAGUCAAACAGAUUUAAAAAUAAUAGUAAAGAAAAAAUACAGAAACAACUAAAAGAAAAAAAUUAAGAACAAAGAAUAAAGAUUUAAAACAAUAAAUAAAUAAAACGAAAAUUAAAAAUGUGGUUUAAAAAAUCGAUUGAUAUAAUGGCUAGAUGAAUAAGUGUCCAAUUGAACUAUUUGAGACCAAAAUCACACAACAAAUUCAAGUAAUAACUCUAAUGGAACUCUAAUUAAUCUAAAUAAAAUAAAGAGUUAUAUGAUAAGCAAGUUCUGAUGAAAAAUUCCUAUUACAUAGUGAGAUGACAAGUAAUGGAUUUUGAUAACAAUUUUUAUUAAAUUGGGAAGUGAUAAUGUAGUGAAUUAAUUUGGUAAAAGUUUUGUUCUUGUCAAUCCAUGAAAAGAUAAAAGUAAUAAAUUAUGGUAAUAAUGAAUCAUAUAAAUAUGGAAUUAUCUGUUAUUAAAAUAUGCUCUGCUGAUUAUUAAGAUAUGUUCAAGAAUUAUAAUAGUAGUAAUUUUUUAUAUAUAGAGUUUAAGGUAAAAAAAAAAACGAUUUGGAUUCCUGGGUACUUACUAAGCUUUUACAAGUGUAACGUGUGUUUUAAACACGUAGAUGGAAGAUCGAAUUAAAGCUCUAGAUUCAGGUUGAGAUUUCAACUCAUCUCAUCUCAUCUCAUAACCAAGGCUUGAAGAGAGUACGAAUUUGAUAUUUUGGUUAUAGAAUAUGACAUGUACACAAGUUACUGCAACUGUUUUGAUAUAAUUUGAGUUUUAUAAUGAUUAAUUGACGUGAAAUCGUCGAAGUUGCUUCGGCAAUGAAUGUAACAUCUAAGUACUUUGACCCGAUGUUCGGGUCGGAUAUGAGGGUGUUACAUUGUUGGUAACCAUUUUGUAACUUUUCAUAAUUAGGUAACAAAAAAUUUCACUAAUAAUUAGGUAUUAAUUUUAUAAUUUUUCAUACUUGGGUGAACAAAAAGAAUUUACUAAUAGUUGAAGGAUUUACUAAUAGUUCAGUGAGUAAUAGUUUGAUUUACCCAAAAAUCUAUGUACUUACAAGAGGGGUAGGCUAAUUACCCCCUAUCCAUAAAUGAAUUCAUUACUGGAGGACCAUUAUCCAUAAAUGAAUAAACUUAAACAGGAAUGCAGUGGAUGGAUCAAUGAUAUCCAGUACCGGUAGGCAGUUGAGGUAGAGAAAAUAUUGGGUCAUCAGUAACUUUUCAGUGCUUAUAAAGGCAAUCCCCCCCCUCCUCCUUUUUGCUGCAGCUUUAUUAACUGACGUAGUACUAGAGUAGUAAAGGCAGCAGCAAGAUGGAAGUUCCCUUUUUCCCAACCCUUUUCUCCUGUAUCAAAGACUUGGUGGUGCAACAAGCCUUGUUCUCAACCUUGGAGGAUUGGCUAGUGAAGCAUCCCAAAAUCCUCCAGUUUUCAUGGGAAAAUGGCCAAACACCAGCCUCCUCUCAUCGCUUCCUCACCCUCACUGUCUUGUCUUACAUCUCUUUCACCUUCGUUCUCUCCCAACUAUCUCGCCCUUCACUUUCACGUCCACUCCUCAAAUCAAUCGCAGCCGUCCACAACAUCUUCCUCCUUACCCUUUCUUUCAUCAUGGCCCUGGGUUGCCUCGUUUCCAUCUUCUCCCAGGUGCCUAACUUCAACACCCUCGUUUGCUUCCCUAGGGGUACAUCCCCAUCGGGCCCUCUCUUUUUCUGGGCAUACAUCUUCUACCUCUCCAAGAUUGUUGAAUUCAUGGACACCCUUUUGAUCAUCCUCAGCGGAUCCAUGAAGAGGCUAUCCUUCCUUCACGUCUACCAUCACUCCAUGGUGGUCAUCAUGUGUUAUAUUUGCUUAGACAGUGCUCAGUCCUCCGUACCCAUGGUGCUGAUCACCAACUGCGUGGUGCAUGUCGUAAUGUACACCUAUUACCUGUUGUGCACCCUGGGGAUGCACCCCAAGUGGAAGAAAAUGGUGACGGAUUUUCAACUAGUGCAGUUCCGGUUAAGCUUUUUGAUCAUGGCCAUGCUUGUGUUCU
Molecule: long non-coding RNA, 6364 nt
Filed under: Gossypium raimondii (Peruvian cotton)
Lineage: Eukaryota; Viridiplantae; Streptophyta; Magnoliopsida; Malvales; Malvaceae
Description: long non-coding RNA (GRAI_LNC000848)
Source: RNAcentral